This 468-nucleotide ribosomal RNA is filed under the name uncultured bacterium. RNAcentral's name for it is "partial 16S ribosomal RNA". It matches the Rfam family "Bacterial small subunit ribosomal RNA", at positions 28 to 507 of the family's 1533-position model. The record is from RNAcentral.
GACGAACGCUGGCGGCGUGCUUAAUACAUGCAAGUCGAACGGAAAGGCCCUGCUUUUGUGGGGUGCUCGAGUGGCGAACGGGUGAGUAACACGUGAGUAACCUGCCCUUGACUUUGGGAUAACUUCAGGAAACUGGGGCUAAUACCGGAUAGGAGCUCCUGCUGCAUGGUGGGGGUUGGAAAGUUUCGGCGGUUGGGGAUGGACUCGCGGCUUAUCAGCUUGUUGGUGGGGUAGUGGCUUACCAAGGCUUUGACGGGUAGCCGGCCUGAGAGGGUGACCGGCCACAUUGGGACUGAGAUACGGCCCAGACUCCUACGGGAGGCAGCAGUGGGGAAUAUUGCACAAUGGGCGGAAGCCUGAUGCAGCAACGCCGCGUGCGGGAUGACGGCCUUCGGGUUGUAAACCGCUUUCGCCUGUGACGAAGCGUGAGUGACGGCAAUGGGUAAAGAAGCACCGGCUAACUACGUG